AAAAAAUGAAAAAAAUACAAAUUAUCGGGUGGCAACACUAUUAGUAGAAUCUUAUGGGAACAUCCCUCAAAUACAUGUACACAAGCCUACUGGGGUUCGACUUCGCUUCGAAAUACUUUCAACUAGACGACAUAUAGGUUUUGUAGAACGCGGUUGUAUAGAAAGUGGACACCAAUACCCUAUACAAUCAUCAUCGGAAGAACAUAUACGAAUAGGACCAGCUGUGAUAAAAAAAAAUUGAGUAAAUUAUUUUGGUAAAAUGAGACGAAAUAUAAUAUAGAAAGUAACUAAAAAAACUUGUAUAGGAUACAAAAUGCGUACCAUCAACAUCCAUUGCAACAACUAAAAGCGAAAUAAAGAUAAUAAUAGCAUAAUCAAAC
RNAcentral lists this long non-coding RNA (380 nucleotides) under Medicago truncatula (barrel medic). RNAcentral's name for it is "lncRNA gene40192". Lineage: Eukaryota; Viridiplantae; Streptophyta; Magnoliopsida; Fabales; Fabaceae. The record is from RNAcentral.